Taeniopygia guttata (zebra finch) is the source of this 5028-nucleotide long non-coding RNA. Lineage: Eukaryota; Metazoa; Chordata; Aves; Passeriformes; Estrildidae. The record is from Ensembl.
UUUUUUUUUUUUUUUUAUUGAUUCAGCUCCACAGAUCCCAGUUUGCUACAUGAUGCAUUUUACUUGUGUUGAGUACUCAUUGGUCUCCUUUGUUACAUCUAGAAUUUUUCUUACCUACCUCCUAAUGUUGCACCAUUUGACAACCACUUAUUACCUACUGGUGAUCUGUUUGUAAUCUGAGGCCUCCCAUAUCAUCCUACACCUGCACUAUCAAGGCCCCUGUUGCCAUCCCAUCCUAGUGGACCUUUAUGCUGCAUUUUAUUUUGAGGUCAUAAAUAGUUUAUUCUACCAGGAAUAACUACCUGCACUUACUGUCUACUUGUUACAAAAGGACAUACAACAAGAAUUUCACCAUGCAAUUGGAUAAAGCACAGCAAAAACUAAGAGAAAGCCAGUAGUAGACACCAGGGCAUUAGAUAAUUGCUCUUACAGGUAAAAAUCUUGACAAGCCCUGGUGCCUGUGCUGCUAGGUUAUCACCAAACUGUGACCUUUCUCAAGCAAUGGCAGCAUCUGAUUUGUGCACCAAAAGGAGAGAAUGUGACUGAGCACUGACUUUUCCAGUACUGACUUUUCCAGUACUACCAGUGAUAAUUGGUUUGAACUGAAACUAAUUAAUAUACACUGCCAAAUCAGUGACACACCUGGCCCGCUGCCCCUUUCUGCUGCUGGACAUUUUCCUUCCUGCUAUGCCAUUUUCUCAGCAUAUUGCUUUCAUAUUUGUCCUUGUUUUUCCCAAGGAGAAGGCUGUGGCUGCUGGUGCUAACUUUUGAAUUUGAGUGAUGGCACAACAGAGGAAGACAAUGAAAGACAACCAAAUGAGAGGAGGUGGGAAAACCAGAAUUAAUAUCCGUAUUGUGAAAGAGGAAAGUCUAAAGUAUACUGUAAGUGUCGGUGGAAGGAGAGGAAUUGUCUUGUAUAUUGGAUAGCUGGAUGAGUAAGGGAGAGAUGAGUGUACCCUAUGAGGAGAUCCAAGCUGGGCUCAGCCUUUUCCCUAAGUCACCUGCAGCCCAACUCAAACUGGGUUCUGCCUGUCUGGUCAACGCAGGAUUAGUCUGGGAAUAAAAGGGACCCCUUGCAAACACUCACGCAGCUCCCGCUCGGAGCAGGCACAAGGCCCUGAUGUAUGCUGGAAGCACCACUCAAAGCCACAACAACACACAGGCAGGACAUGACUGAAGGGGAGGAGGUCAUUAUGCAGCUGCCAUCACCUGCAGCCAUAAUCCUGGCGUAUUGGUUGUGUGACUGUUUCCUCAGAAUCCACUAACUUAUGGAAAUGGUGUAGAUCAAGCUUCCAAGCUGGAAGUUAUAAAUACAUCAGCUUACCCAAAAAUCUUCUGAACUGGAUCCAACAAUAGGCAGACUGCUGAGAUAUUUUUGCCUCCAGGUGUGAAACGGGACACCCACAAAGUGAUAGGGGAGGAAGAAUGAGCACUCUCACUGUCUACUAGGUAACUAUUUUGUUCAUUGCUGUGUGAGUUGUUAGUUAUGAAUAAGAGAACUGUGAGUUGGAAACAUCAUUAAUUAAGUGAUGAAUCAGCGAAUUACCAUGUUAGACUGGUUUCUACAAAGUUUGGAAUUAAGCGAUGAAUCAGUGAAUUGCCAUGGUUUCUCCAAAGUUUGAAGCAUCUGUUUUCUUUCCUAGUGUGUUCAUAGAAUAGAGAUUAAUUUACAUAUUAAUUUUAAUACAUUUUCCUGUCAUUUCAAGGAAUUUCAAUCCAAAUGCAUCAUGGCAACCCUAAUGGAAGGAGUGGCAAACAUCUGGUCUAGUGAAAACUGUAGUAGCAAUGAGCGGUGUUGCAGAUCCAAGUAUUUUGCUUAUGCAACAGGAAUAUCCUGGUUGGGCACAAAUGCAAUGUAGAAUUUCUGUUUAGUAGCUUUGGUGGCUUUUUUGUGAUAUUUGAGAAUUUCCUUAGAUUUUGGCAUCUACCAAGGCAAUUCCAAGCGUGCUAUCAACAGAUAUAAUCUGACAUCUCCUAUUUACUUUGAACCUCAUUGUCCCACUGGCCUCCUUUGACAUCGUGUAUCUCUGGUACUGGGGGAAUCAGAGAGACCUUCUUCCCUCUCCAACAUGAGACCUAUGGUUUCAUAGACUUCUGAAGUGCAUUUCACCCACAUCACAUCUUCUUCAGGUUUAGGAGUCCUACCUCAGUCAUUUCGUGCAUGUAAACUCUUCCAUGCUCACAACCAGUCUUGUUUCUCUCCUCUGAACUUCUCCCAGCAUUAUGUCACUUUAAGUACCAUUUAAACACAGCAGUUUUAAGCUUCUGCCUUUUGAAAGGACACUGCUAAUGAGUGAGUGGCCUACCUUUGCAGGGAGAAUGUGUGUCUCUUGGGACCCAGAUUCAUUAAGUUAAACCUGGACUCAACUGUGGCUGAAACAGAUUCAAAACCUGCCCUUGUUGCAAGAUCUGUACCAUAAAGGUUGAACACAUUUUGUGCGUUUGCAUGCAUUGUUUCAUUAAAUACCUCUAUUCUGUCAUAGAAGUGUGACUGCCCUUGAAAAGACCACAAGUCAUCUUUCUACAGCAGUGUAUGAACAGUAAGUAGGUCAUUAACAUUUGAAAACCAACUGAUCUCUUUCAUCACUAUGUAGAUUCAUAGGAUUAUGAGAUGUGCUUAAAUGUUAUCUGCAUGCUGCCCUUCUUCAAAGUAAAUAUGUCUUAGAAUCUCUGUGGUUGUAUGGUGCUCUUCAGGUUGUUUUGUCCGAUUACAAAAUUCUUUUGCUUGGAAAUAACCUGCAGGAUAAUAGUGAAAUGCUGCUGUGAACUUCAGACAUCUGCAUGGAAAGACUCAGAGACUAAGGGGCAAAUCCAGUGAGCUAUAACUCAAUUUUAAAAUUCUUCAGCUAUACUUGCAUUAGGAAGUUUUACAGGAACAGAUCUUUAGAGUGGAGCCACUGGCACUGAGUUUCCAAUAGCUACACUGUAUUUUAGAGGAUUUAUAUUAGACUUGCCAUCUCUGGCCUGAAUGGCUGUGAGCCUUAGAGAGCCUUUUGUUGCACUCUUCAAUUCAAUCACUCUUCACUCUUCAAUAAACUCAGAUAAAACUAAGCUGAUAAAAUGUGUGCUCUUAGAUCACUGUGACAUGAACUAAAGCACUGUAAACCAUUUUUUCAAAAAGGUGUUACUGGUCAAAAGAUGUGAGGGAUGGUCAAGAGCUCAACAUCUGUGACAGCUGCAUGGCAAAGAUCUGCCUGGGCAAUGCGACCUGAGAGCAUCGAAGCAUUCACUCUUUCUCUGUGGAGCUGUACUGGUACAAAAGUUCUCACAUCACUGCUGCUCACUCCAACAGGAGGUACAAAAGGUGCACCUUCAGAAGUAAUGGUAGGAAUUUUUGGUAGUCCAACUUUAAAGGAAAAAAUUCUCUAGUCUCCCACAGAUCUGGUCUUCUAUCAGCAGGAAUUGGUGGUGCUCUCUCCAGAGUGGCGCACUAACACUCUGUGAUCCCUAGAAGUAUCUUUAUGCUGAUCUAGCUGUGCCUGUGCUUGUACCAAGAUGCAUGCUUUGGGAACUGUUAACCAAAUUUAACCAAAUGCUGUGUACUUCACUAGUGAUGCACAUUGCCUCUAAAUCCCCUUUGCAGCUGGAAAAGUUUGCCCUGCUGUUUGCUUAAAAGUUUGUUGGGUUCAUUGUCCUUUAUAGAACAAACAAGUUGAGCUAAUUUAGAGACUCUUAUAAAGAUGAUGUUCCAAAGCCUCUGCUGCCUAAACAGUUUCAUUUGUAGGAAGACAUUUUCCUUUACUAAGAUAAGCUUAGCACAGGGCCAUUAUAAACCCCACUGCAGCAUACUGAUGAAUUAUUUUCUGCCUUUCAACUGGCUUACGUUAGGUAGCCACAGUUUUUGCAGUGUAAAACAAUACUUUGUGCUCCAAUCAGCUAGUUCUGGAAGAGCUUUUAAGUAAUAAAACCUAUUCCCAAAGCUCUGUUGACCUCAUCAGCAUUACUGGUGCCCAAGAAAAAAAAUACCUUUGCAUUCAGAGACUCAGCAAUGGGGAAGUGUCAUCAUCAAACUGCAAAUUAACUUGCAUCCAACUGUGGUUACAAUUGAAAGUGUGAGAUUAAGCAAAUGGGAAAAGCAACCAUUUUGAGGAAAAGAAAAAGAAAAAAAGCAGACUUUAGACAGGGGGUGUAAGAAUGGAGGAAAGUAAAAGAACAUCUACAUGUGAUUUUUACAUAUUUAGAAACUGAGUAGCAGGAAACAAAUACACCUAGGGACAAUUUUGAGGGAGAGAGGCAGAAGAGGCUAUAUCUAGAACAAAAUGGACAUGCCACCAGGAAAAUGAUUAUGCCACUCUCUUUCUGAAUCUGUAAUUCCUGUCACCAAGCGGAUCUUGGUUCCUUUACAUCACUGCUUAAACAAACAGGGGACAAAUAUGUCUCCUCCUGCAGCACAAGAGGGACUUUAUGUCUCAGACACCUUCUUGGGUGCUUUUCAUCCACAGCAAUUUGUUCAGCCUGUGGGUCUCUUUUGCACAAAACCUGUACCUAGAAAAUAGGUGCUUAGAAACAAAGCAUAGACUCAAAUGAUAAUGAUUGUGGGCCACAGCUGCAGGCUAAAGGUUUCCAAGAUUUUAACAUCAGAUUACCCCUGAUUCUGUCUGCUUUGUCCACAGCUGUAAAGACACUCAUGUCCCAGCAUGUAAAGGCACUCAGAAUUUUUUCCUUCUAGGCAUGUGCCUUGCACUACUGGUGCUGGGUCAAUGUAGAAGACGUUAGGAGAUGACAAAGCCACGUGCUCAGAAACAAGAAUACGUGACGGAUACUAAGUCAGCCCCUUUGCAGGGUGGUCAUCACCACUGUAUAGACCAAUUACACACUUUUUUCCACAUAAAUAGUCUCUCCCUUGGCCAGGAUGGAUGGUGAGGUUGGGCAGGAAGGACUGUGAUCUGAGUUCAGGCCCUGCUUCUUGGAUCCCAGUGUCAUUCCUGCAGGACUGGGGGAAAAUGUAGUGGAUAAGGGAAGAGGUCAAUGGGAGAACAAGGUGAAGGCCAUCACUAUUUAGGCUGUGUGUGCCUUCACUGGCAAUGC